CUGGCGGCGUGCUUAACACAUGCAAGUCGAACGGAAAGGCCCUGCUUUUGUGGGGUGCUCGAGUGGCGAACGGGUGAGUAACACGUGAGUAACCUGCCCUUGACUUUGGGAUAACUUCAGGAAACUGGGGCUAAUACCGGAUAGGAGCUCCUGCUGCAUGGUGGGGGUUGGAAAGUUUCGGCGGUUGGGGAUGGACUCGCGGCUUAUCAGCUUGUUGGUGGGGUAGUGGCUUACCAAGGCUUUGACGGGUAGCCGGCCUGAGAGGGUGACCGGCCACAUUGGGACUGAGAUACGGCCCAGACUCCUACGGGAGGCAGCAGUGGGGAAUAUUGCACAAUGGGCGGAAGCCUGAUGCAGCAACGCCGCGUGCGGGAUGACGGCCUUCGGGUUGUAAACCGCUUUCGCCUGUGACGAAGCGUGAGUGACGGUAAUGGGUAAAGAAGCACCGGCUAACUACGUGCCAGCAGCCGCGGUGAUACGUAGGGUGCGAGCGUUGUCCGGAUUUAUUGGGCGUAAAGGGCUCGUAGGUGGUUGAUCGCGUCGGAAGUGUAAUCUUGGGGCUUAACCCUGAGCGUGCUUUCGAUACGGGUUGACUUGAGGAAGGUAGGGGAGAAUGGAAUUCCUGGUGGAGCGGUGGAAUGCGCAGAUAUCAGGAGGAACACCAGUGGCGAAGGCGGUUCUCUGGGCCUUUCCUGACGCUGAGGAGCGAAAGCGUGGGGAGCGAACAGGCUUAGAUAUCCUGGUAGUCCACGCUGUAAACGGUGGGUACUAGGUGUGGGGUCCAUUCCACGGGUUCCGUGCCGUAGCUAACGCUUUAAGUACCCCGCCUGGGGAGUACGGCCGCAAGGCUAAAACUCAAAGGAAUUGACGGGGCCCCGCACAAGCGGCGGAGCAUGCGGAUUAAUUCGAUGCAACGCGUAGAACCUUACCUGGGUUUGACAUGGAUCGGGAGUGCUCAGAGAUGGGUGUGCCUCUUUUGGGGUCGGUUCACAGGUGGUGCAUGGCUGUCGUCAGCUCGUGUCGUGAGAUGUUGGGUUAAGUCCCGCAACGAGCGCAACCCUUGUUCACUGUUGCCAGCACGUUAUGGUGGGGACUCAGUGGAGACCGCCGGGGUCAACUCGGAGGAAGGUGGGGAUGACGUCAAGUCAUCAUGCCCCUUAUGUCCAGGGCUUCACGCAUGCUACAAUGGCUGGUACAGAGAGUGGCGAGCCUGUGAGGGUGAGCGAAUCUCGGAAAGCCGGUCUCAGUUCGGAUUGGGGUCUGCAACUCGACCUCAUGAAGUCGGAGUCGCUAGUAAUCGCAGAUCAGCAACGCUGCGGUGAAUACGUUCCCGGGGCUUGUACACACCGCCCGUCAAGUCAUGAAAGUUGGUAACACCCGAAGCCGGUGGCCUAACCGUUGUGGGGGAGCCGUCGAAGGUGGGACUGGA
This 1429-nucleotide ribosomal RNA is filed under the name uncultured organism. RNAcentral describes it as "partial small subunit ribosomal RNA". It matches the Rfam family "Bacterial small subunit ribosomal RNA". The record is from RNAcentral.